CCUACGGGAGGCAGCAGUAAGGAAUUGUUCGCAAUGGGCGCAAGCCUGAYGACGCAACGCCGCGUGGAGGACGAAGAUCUUCGGGUUGUAAACUCCUGUCGAGCGGGAAGAACAGCAUGCGGGUUAAUACCCCACACCCYUGACGGUACCGCUGGAGGAAGCCCCGGCUAACUCCGUGCCAGCAGCCGCGGUAAUACGGGGGGGGCAAGCGUUGUUCGGAAUUACUGGGCGUAAAGGGCUCGUAGGCGGCCACCCAAGUCUGUYGUGAAAUCCCUCGGCUCAACCGGGGAACUGCGUCSGAUACUGGGUGGCUUGAAGCCGGGAGAGGGAUGCGGAAUUCCCGGUGUAGCGGUGAAAUGCGUAGAUAUCKGGAGGAACACCCGUGGCGAAGGCGGCWUCCUGGACCGGUCUUGACGCUGAGGAGCGAAAGCCAGGGUAGCAAACGGGAUUAGAUACCCCGGUAGUCCUGGCCSUAAACGAUGAAYGCUUGGUGUGGCGGGUAUCGAUCCCUGCCGUGCCGGAGCUAACGCAUAAGCAUUCCGCCUG
RNAcentral lists this ribosomal RNA (546 nucleotides) under uncultured Acidobacteriota bacterium. RNAcentral's name for it is "bacterial SSU rRNA". It matches the Rfam family "Bacterial small subunit ribosomal RNA", at positions 338 to 875 of the family's 1533-position model. Lineage: Bacteria; Pseudomonadati; Acidobacteriota. The record is from RNAcentral.